Molecule: long non-coding RNA, 209 nt
Filed under: Panax ginseng (ginseng)
Lineage: Eukaryota; Viridiplantae; Streptophyta; Magnoliopsida; Apiales; Araliaceae
Description: long non-coding RNA (PGIN_LNC013814)
Source: RNAcentral
AUGAUCUGAGUCGAAUCUGGUGCAAAAAUAUAAAUUCCUUACCGAAUCCGAGUCUAAUUCGAGCUCAAUUUUUUUGAGUCGAGCCGAAUCUGAACAUGAAGAUGUUCGCUGAGAUUCGACUCGUUUACACCCCUAAUUUUGACAUAUAUUUCUACUACAUGGAUGGAUAAGCUUUAAUUAAUUGGGUUCUACUUUUUUAAAAUAUCUUC